AGCAUUUGUGUUUCAUCUACCGAAGCUUUGUGGGCUACAUUCGAGCUUUCUGGGCAUUCAUGUUCUAAGCUUUCUGGGCAUUCUGCAUAUCUGUUAAUGAAUCGAGCGUCGGGCAAUCCAAGGCGAAAUGUGUGUGUCAAUUUCUUCAGGAGCUCAAUGAUGCUGUUAAGGCUAAGUUUAUAGAGGAAUAUCCAGAGACUUUGAUUCAGACCAACCCUCCUUCUUUUCUCAGUUUACCUUGGUUGUGGCCACUCAGAUUCAAUGGUGAAGCUCGACAGAAUAUGUAGGGAUGUAAAUGUGCUAUUGAUCUUUGCUCGCUCUUAUGGCCUUACUAGGCUUGUCCGUAUCAGUUUGAAGGUAACAUGUUGAAGUUUGUUGUUGAAAUUUUUUUCCCUAUCUUGUUAUUCUGG
Rosa rugosa (rugosa rose) is the source of this 410-nucleotide long non-coding RNA. RefSeq lists it as uncharacterized. The transcript is spliced from 3 exons. NCBI's taxonomy places the organism in Eukaryota, Viridiplantae, Streptophyta, Magnoliopsida, Rosales, Rosaceae. The record is from RefSeq and is a predicted model, not a curated record.